CCCUUAGAGUUUGAUCCUGGCUCAGGAUGAACGCUAGCUACAGGCUUAACACAUGCAAGUCGAGGGGCAGCAUGACCUAGCAAUAGGUUGAUGGCGACCGGCGCACGGGUGAGUAACACGUAUCCAACCUACCGGUUAUUCCGGGAUAGCCUUUCGAAAGAAAGAUUAAUACCGGAUAGUAUAACGAGAAGGCAUCUUUUUGUUAUUAAAGAAUUUCGAUAACCGAUGGGGAUGCGUUCCAUUAGUUUGUUGGCGGGGUAACGGCCCACCAAGACAUCGAUGGAUAGGGGUUCUGAGAGGAAGGUCCCCCACAUUGGAACUGAGACACGGUCCAAACUCCUACGGGAGGCAGCAGUGAGGAAUAUUGGUCAAUGGACGAGAGUCUGAACCAGCCAAGUAGCGUGAAGGAUGACUGCCCUAUGGGAGUAAACUUCUUUUAUAUGGGAAUAAAGUG
This 454-nucleotide ribosomal RNA is filed under the name uncultured bacterium. RNAcentral describes it as "bacterial SSU rRNA". It matches the Rfam family "Bacterial small subunit ribosomal RNA", at positions 1 to 453 of the family's 1533-position model. The record is from RNAcentral.